UUCCCGCAGAAAUGGUGGUGCCUCCCACGCAGGAGCGAGAUCCCACGGUGUGCUCGCUCGGGUUUUCCAGCUCCCGCCGGGAGCCGCGGCCCGGGAGCCGCGAGGCUGAACUCUGGACACUUCGUUGUUUUUCCUCCUCGCCUCGUGACUUUUAUGGCCUGUCACGGAGGGAAGGCAGAGGAACGCGAGGCGAGAUCCCUGCCCGCUGCUCGCUUCCUGUCUCCUUCCCGCAGUCCCGGCCACCGCGGCAACUCCGAUGGCAACCCCAGCGCCCCAAACAACCUGCUGCGGGGGAUUCCGAGCUCCCACGGCUCUCUCCUGACCCGUCCUGCUUCCACCACCCAUGUUUGUCCUCGCGCUUGAUGCUUCGUGUAUUCCCAGAUGUUGGCCAAAACCCGGAUCAAACCUGCAGGAUGUGUCACUGAUGGAGUUUGAAGAAACAAGCGAGGGAGGCACCACUCCCCCAGGAGCCAGCAGCACCCCUGGGGAAGCUUGGGAUUCUACAGCAGUUGGAGGAGAGCACCAUGCCACUCACACACCAGCCGAAAUGAGCACCAGCCCGUCGAGCUCUGCACAGGGAGCAGAGCUCAGCACUCCUGAGGACUGCCUUUCUGCUCCAGGGAAAGCAGCAGAGAUGCUGGGCAGACCCUCUAACCCUAUGCAAGAAGUGCCAGCAGGACUGGAACAAGAGCAGGGGGAUGCAGAGCCUGAAAAGGGACUCUCAGAAUGGGAAGGAGAAAUGCCUUUAGAGGCGGGUGGACUAGAUUAUUCUCUGAAACAUAAGCAAUUAGAGGUAGCUGACCUGGAAAGUAACCAGGACUUUUCCUCUCACAGCACGGUUCAGGAUGAGCUGGCCCCUGGCAGCCCCAUCCUGCAGGCUGUGAACCUCAGCACUGAGUUUUCUCAAUGCCAGGAAGAACUGGCUUUUCCUGGCUCAGACCCUCAAGCCCAGCAACCAAAAUCUUCUUUGGCUGAUGCCAUUUCCUCUCAGAGAGAGACACCUAAGUGCUUUUUGGUGUGUAAAACUGUUUCAGAGGGACAUUAUAAGGCCAAACCGUUUCUGGAUAACAUCUCCAAGGAUUCUCUGCAGGAGGUUGAUGGUGCUGCAGAGCAGAAGCAAAGCAGCAAAAAGGUGGCACCAGCACCUGACGAACAGCCUACAUCAGAGGAAGCAGUAGGAGACACAGCUAAACCUUACACUUCUGAAGAUGUUAAGGAAAGCCUAAGAGCACCCCAGAGUUUGGAAGAGAAUACAGAGUCUUUCUCUUCCCAUCAGUUGUCUUCCACCUUAACAUGUGACAGCCAAGUAAGUUCACUACAAGCAGAAGGAAACAUAACUGGUGAAACAAGGAAUGCCAGCGUGGUCAAAGACCAGGGAACACUAAUGGUUCCUAAAGAAAACUCACCUACUUCCAAAUGCCUUCAUCUAGAAGAUGAUCAUGGAAAAACAGAGGGGAGACCUGCCCCUUCAGUAGAGAGAGCCUUCCAAGUAAAGAGUACUGCUAAAAGGAGUGAGGAAGUGAGUGCUUCACAGCAUAAGGAGCCAGCAGAGGAGGAGGCAGCGUCUGAACUUCAGCAGGAAGAGGAGAAGAAAGAGUGCAAAGAGCAGAAUCUGCCAGAAGAAGGAAAAUCUUUGGAGCCCAAAGAUCAGAAAAACAAGCAACAAAAUGGGCAGGAACAACUGCAGAGGGAAGGGCUCAGAGUGGAGGAAGAGCUCAAACUAGAGGCUCUAUCAUCAGCUUUUGGGUCAGAGAUAUCUUCUGUUCCCAGGUAUAAGGUGGAUAUGUGUGGUUUGGAGAAUGUUUCCUCAGCUGAGCAAAGGGGAUCAGCAUUUCCUCCUGGGGAACCUGUCUCUGUGGAUCCUGGUGAAGAUGUGCUGCUGAAAGCCCGUGUCACAGAAGCAGGUUCUGGAUGUCAGGCACCUGCUGUCGGCUCUCUGUCUUUGAAUAACCUGAACCCAGGGGGUGAAGCUCCGCACACAUGCCGUGUCUCUGACCAGUCGGAAGACCUGGAAGACUCUGGCCGCUUUUCCAUCGGUGCUCAGGAUCUUGGAGAAGCUCACUGGGAUGAUAAGAUAAGACUGGGCAGGGAGAACGAGCACAGUGAUGGGCAUGGAAAAGCUGUCCAGAGGUUUGAGAAAAGAGAGGCACCUCUCCAUGGAGGAGUGGCAGCACCUUCUGGUGCAGAGAACUCAGAGGCUUCUGUUCCAGCACACCCUUCCUCUGGUACUAAUGACUUGGAGCCACCUGAUCCCAGAGAUUCUCAUCCCGCUACAGGAAAAGCUGAGCUUCCGGACUUCAUUCCAGCUUUGCCCUCAGAGCUCACCUCAGUGGCUUUAGCGUCUGGCCUACAGAAGGAGGGUGCCAGAGCAGCCUCUGUGACCCCCCAGGACUGUCCUGGCACCAGCCAAAACGAGCUGCCAGACUCUGCAGGGAAGCCACCCAACCAAGGUGCUCCCACACAAGUGUGGGACCCAACACCAGGGCAAACUGCUGCUCUGAGUACAGAUCCAGGGGAGGCCAAGGCUUUCCAUGAAAUCCUUACUUCCAAGGAAGGCUUUCAUGAAGACCUUAGUGGCCCAUCUUCUUUCUCUGUAAUAUACACGAGCUCUCUUCCUUUAGAAGAGAGCCUUCCUGGGGAUAGGAGGUCUGUGGUUAGCAUUGCAGGGCCUCUGGAACCAUCCCAAACACCAGGAAGGACUUCCACUCCCCUGAACCACCCAGAGACAAUUCAGCAGAACUCCCCCGAAAAAAGUGCCAUUAUGGAGGGAAAAGAAACAGGAGCAAAUGUGGGUCAUAAAGCACAACAAAUGCCUUUGUUUGAUCAGCCUGACUGCAGUUUAGACCAAAAAGAGCUUGGAUCCAGAAUUUCCAGUGUCCUGAGCACCCUAACUUGGCCCUCUGAAGAAGAUACGGUCCUUGCUGUGAACCAGGAAGAACAACCUCUGUCCCCUGUGUCCCACUCAAGCCUACCUCUGGUAUCUGAGCCUGAUGCCAAACAGCUUCCUCAGCCUCCUUCCCAUGUCCAAAGGCCCACUCAAGCUCAGGCCCCUGCACUUAAUGCAAAUCACCUUGUCCCACCUUCAGCCCCCGAAUGUUCCCAGCCACUGGCUCCUGGACCAUAUUCCAGGCCACACCUCAACUGUGCUAUGGACCAUAAUAGGUUAGGAGCCAUUCACCCUGCCAUAAGCCAUCCUCUCCAGACUGCUGCCUCUGGGUCCCAUUCCAACUCUGUGGCCUCUGCUUCUGAUGGAGAAAGUCUAGCAGAGAAGGAUGGCCUUGUACCAGUAACUGGGGAGUGGGAUCUCGGUGACUCAGGUACCCACGACACAGAGACUUCCGAUGACUCAGGGGUCAGUUUGUUGGCCAAAAGCUUUUCUGCUGUUGGAAGUGAAAUGCUGGUUGGCUGCUCUGACACCAGCCCUGAAACAGCAGACCAGCACAUGGAUAUAGAAAGUGGAAAAUCCUCACCUGACCACCCUAAUUGGCCCUCGUUGGAAGGCUUGUUAGCAUCCACAGACUCCAAGAGCAGAGACUCUGCACAGCUCCUUCCAAUGCUUGCAUUCACCAACCCAAUCCACUUUCUCCAGCUUAGCCCUCCAUCACCACCAACCACCAGAACGACCUGCCAGGAAGAGGAGCUGCCAUGGGAGCAACCCUCAGGCAUCUUCGGUGUGGACACAAAGCACGCCCAGGCUCCACGGGCAGUCACAGAGAAAACAGAACGUGAGAGGAGGGUCAAGCAAAGGCUGGAAGGAGGGGAACAUCAGCCAAAGGAAGAAGUGGCCAAACAUGCACCCUUGGAAAAAUCAUCAAGUUGGCCAGACAAGAAGAAGAUGGGGGUGGUUGCACAGGAGCCAGCAGCCAACCAAGAGAACCCGAUUAGACGCCGAGUGAAAAGCAAGGACUGGCACCGCCAGGGCCUGAAGAGGAUGUCAGUACCACCAGACAUCUUGCAGGGUGAGUCCUCUCUUCCCUUUCCCUUCCCUGCCACUGCCCCAACUCAUUGCAGUUCCCAAAAACAUAGGAUUAAAUUAAAC
Manacus vitellinus (golden-collared manakin) is the source of this 4039-nucleotide long non-coding RNA. The record is from Ensembl. NCBI's taxonomy places the organism in Eukaryota, Metazoa, Chordata, Aves, Passeriformes, Pipridae.